Molecule: ribosomal RNA, 497 nt
Filed under: uncultured bacterium
Lineage: Bacteria
Description: partial 16S ribosomal RNA
Rfam family: Bacterial small subunit ribosomal RNA
Source: RNAcentral
GACGAACGCUGGCGGCGUGCCUAAUACAUGCAAGUUGAGCGCUGGAGGAUGGUACUUUUACCCACUGGAUGGGCAGCUAACGGGUGAGUAACGAGUGGGGAAUCUUCCUUUGAGCGGGGGACGACAUCGGGAGACGAAUUCUAAUAAUGCAUAAAACCUUUAACCACAGGAUGUAAGGUUGAAACAUACAUUUGCCGCACUCAAAGGUGGUCCCGCGUUUUGUUAGCUAGUUGGUGAGGGAAAGGCUCACCAAGGCGAUGAUACAUAGCCUACGUGAGCGGGUGAUCGGCCAAAAUGGGACUGAGACACGGCCCAAACCUCUUCGGGAGGCAGCAGUAGGGAAACUUCGGCAAUGGACGAAAGGCUGACCCAGCAACGCCGCGUGAGUGAAGAAGGGUUUCGGAUCGUAAAACUCUGUUUGUAGGGAAGAAAGUUGGUGAGAGUGGAAAGCUCAUCAAGUGACGGUAACUAACCAGAAAGGGACGGCUAACUACGUG